Molecule: long non-coding RNA, 279 nt
Organism: Pantherophis guttatus
Lineage: Eukaryota; Metazoa; Chordata; Lepidosauria; Squamata; Colubridae
Source: RefSeq, a predicted model, not a curated record
UGCCAUCCCCUGGCUAUCCUUUUGGCUUUCGGAGAUUUUCUCAUGGAAUUUUCUGAUCAACUUAUCUUUUUUUACAUUCUGACUCUUCACUCAAGUGGCUUCAGAGAGGAGGACAAGGUGAGAUUCUUGCAAAGAGCCAGCUUUAGCUUCUAUCAAACAGUGCAGCAGAGCCUUGUGCCCACUCACCACCUUCUCCCAAAUUCCCCAGCACUUUUCAAUGCUUAACAUCAAUUUAUGUAUUUCAAAAUGUGGAUGCUUAAUAAAAUAUUUGGAAAAUCA